ACAGGGCAUACCUAUGUCCAAUUUGUAUGUAUGGAGCAUAAAUGAAUGCUUAAUUGUAAAUGUACAAUCUAUUACAAAUUUUGAAUAAAGGAGUGAAUUUGUGGCAUCAACUUUGCAAUAAUUUGACCAUGUAGUUUCACCUUACUACAUCUAUUACUGAUCUAUUACAUGAUUUUUUUGGCAAUACUAUAACAUAAUUACAUAGCAUGAUAAAAGUGAUCAAGAUGUAAUCAGAUUACAAGUGGUCAUAUUUAGCAUUUUUAGAUCCAAAAAUUGCUCCCUAUUCUUAAGUAAGAUUGGCUCUAUAUUUUAGUACUAUCUUUAAUCCAGAAGUAUCAUCAUUUUACAUUUUGUAGAUAUUUGUGAAGCUUUUUUUUUUUUUUUUUUUUUUUUCUCAUUAUUAUUAUUAUUUUGACUGCAAUUGGAUACCUUAAUUAGUUGUUUUUAGGAUUUUCAUGU
This 459-nucleotide long non-coding RNA is filed under the name Physcomitrium patens. RNAcentral's name for it is "long non-coding RNA (PPAT_LNC011429)". The record is from RNAcentral. Lineage: Eukaryota; Viridiplantae; Streptophyta; Bryopsida; Funariales; Funariaceae.